RNAcentral lists this transfer RNA (60 nucleotides) under Diaphorina citri (Asian citrus psyllid). It matches the Rfam family "tRNA", at positions 7 to 64 of the family's 71-position model. Rfam says of the family: Transfer RNA (tRNA) molecules are approximately 80 nucleotides in length. Their secondary structure includes four short double-helical elements and three loops (D, anti-codon, and T loops). Lineage: Eukaryota; Metazoa; Arthropoda; Insecta; Hemiptera; Psyllidae. The record is from Rfam by way of RNAcentral.
GUAGCUUAGUUGGUAGUGCGUCUGCCUUGUAAGCGCUAGGCCGCGGGUUCGAUUCCCGCC